Molecule: long non-coding RNA, 4210 nt
Organism: Dromaius novaehollandiae (emu)
Lineage: Eukaryota; Metazoa; Chordata; Aves; Casuariiformes; Dromaiidae
Exons: 6
Source: RefSeq, a predicted model, not a curated record
CGGCCCCCCCGCUGCGGCCGAGCGCCCUUGGCGGGCGGCGCAUGCGCGCGGCAGGGAGCAAGAUGGCGGCGAGCGGGAAGGGCGUUUUUGCUCGGCGGCAGCGGCAGCGGCGAGUGAGGGCCGAGGCCGCCUGGAGUGGAGCAUGGGGGGCCCCCGCUGCCCCAAAGCCAUGGGCUUCCCUGGUGCAGCCUGUGUCGAUGGGUCCUCCGUUGCCUCUGACGUCUCCCCAGGCACUCGUAUGCUGCGCAGGGGCCUGGAUGUCCCAGCAGCGGCACAGCAGCCGGAUGCCUCCUCUCGUCUGGGACACAGGGUCCUUCGCCGCUCUUCUGGGAUGCAGGUCCCUUGAUUGAUUGCUGUGGCUGAAGCUGAAGAGACUAAAAAGUGUGAGCAAGCGGAAGUAAUAAAAUUGAAUGGAACUGGGUGAAAACUGUCUCCCUCUGCCAGCAAAAGGGAAAGCCCGUUCCUCCUGCCGAGGAAGGAUCGCUGUUAAUAGUGAUCCGAAUGAUAGAUCACCAACAUAUAAGGGAAGGUCUGUACACGUUACAAAAAGUAUGCUGCGUACAUUCAUUUCUGUGCAUGUGACUUUACGUGUCUGUGAAGCAUCGUACUUUAAGAGCUACGAGACAGCGAAUUAUUAUCUUGGGGGAAUGGUGGUCAGGCGACCAGAGUUACUGAGGAGGAAGUGAGAGUGAGAGAACGAGAGAGAGAAAUGUCUGAAGUGUCUCAAUAAUAAUAAUUAUUAUUUAUUAUUGUUUAUUAUUAUUUGUGAAUGUCUCAAUUAGUGCAACCGCCGGUAUAGUUACUUGGCAAUGGUAUUUGGGGAAACAAGAAGAUGGUGGAUAGAAGAAAGGUUAAAGCCUUGUGGAAUUAAGGCUCCUUCUUGUCGGUUCCAUCUUGGAGCAAUUUUAGGAGGAUUUAAUUUCCUCCAGGAGCGUUAACGUGGCUUUGCCGGUAUCAGUUGGGAACGGAGCUGGAACAAGGAACGUGACGCUGCUUUCACUAAACCGGGAGAAGUGGCUGUAACGCCUCCUGCCCUCAAAUUCCCAGGACAAGGCAAGCCUUUGCUUUCCACAUCUGCUGACUGCCUGGCAGCAGCACUGUUAGAAAACAGCGGUGGUAAGGGAAAGUGGGUGCCAGUAGCGUGAUCCUUACGUCCCCUUUGGGGCCAGAACAGAAAUUCUCUGGCUGUGAGAAAGACUGUUUAGCAGUGAUCUGGGCUGACACUGUCUUUGAGACUUCUACCCUUGAUAACACAGAGGCAGUCCAAUCUGCUCAAUUCCCUCCAAAGGGGUAACGUCAGGGAAAUAAAUAGACAGCAAGUGGCACAGUGGGCACUAACCUUAACGAGUGGAGGGGGCAUGGGGGGGGUUGCUGUGCAAGUGUUACAAGCAGUAGAUCUUCCUGUGUGUGUCUGAAUUGAUGGAGGGGCAGAGCACGGUUGUGCCAAAAGUGCAGACGCAGAAGGUUUCUGAAAGAUUACUCUCUAGCGGCUACUUAGUCUAACUUCCCUUUUGCAGCAAGCCCAGCUGUUGUCGUAGCUCCCAAAGCAGGGGUUGGGGGAAGCGGUAUUUGUGGCUCGCAUAUUCACAUUUACCUUGCUUGUGUGCGUAUUAGAUGCGCUUUUGUGCUUAUAAACCACUUUGGAUUCUUACGGUUUUCUGCAGAGCUUUGAUUUUUUUUCUCUCUUUUCCUUGUUUUCUUUCUUUCUUUGCUCUAUAUUUUUGUAGGGGGUUGGAUUUUACUAUGCCUCCAUCAACGAGCGCUGGCUGGCAAAGUUGUUGUGUCCCAAUGGAGACUCUUAGGCGAGAUGGAGGAGUUGAGAUCCGCAGCCAGCCAGAAGAACGUCGCCCGGGAGAGGUUGCUAGCCUCAAGCUGUAGGCGCUGGCAUUCAGGACCUCGGGGAACGACUGCAUGCUGCCGUGAAGAACUACAGGCUACCGCCGCCCUCGGACCUUCGUAAGUUGUCACAUGUCAAGAGCGGCCAGGAGAAUCCAAACGGCGGCGGAAAGGUUCUCUGCCUGGUCUUGACGAGGAGCCUUCGGCCGUAGGAAGGUUGGCCGUGUCCUUAUCGGACUUGUUACUGUUCUGAGGGCCGGCAACUCGAAGAGGAGCAGCUCAGCCCGUUUUGUUGGUUUCGGUGAUACUGUUUUGAGGAAGCGCGGCCCAUCUGUCAGCUAACAAAUAAAGAAGACGGAACAGCCUAUCCACAUAGGAGAGAGCUGACACAGGAGAACUGAUAUACGGUAAAUGUAAACGCCCUAGACCUCUGGUACGUCACCGGAAUUUGUUUAGAUCUGUGCGUUCAAAUCUGUAGUUCCGCAUUCGGAACGUGGCAUUUGCCCAAGUAUCUAAUUCCUUUGUGUCGUGUGGAAGCCACUGCACGGCUGCCAGUCUCUACACCAGGUUAUCGGAGAGAAUGAGAAUGCUGCGUUUCAACUCAUGACUGCAAAAGAGGCUCCUUUCUGUCCAGUUUCAGAAUUAUGACCUACUUCAUCAUUCUGCUUUGACGUUGUUUCUCAGCAGGAAUGGUAGCGCUUUAACCAUGCAGCGGUUGAAACCGGUAAUGUGUAGGCCAGCGCAGUUAUGCUGUACCGUUCUUUGAUAUGCAUUUCAUCCUUGUAUCAGGCUUCUGGGAAAAUAAAUGGUACAGAGUUCCCGAAGGUGCGCCUUUAAAUAGGCGGUAAAUCUAGAGGCGUGUCUGAAUUCCAAGUGGCUUGUAACUUCAUAUCUGUCUUCAGCAUAUACUUUUCUGUCGCUCUUAUUCCAGGCUUACCUCCGACAAUCUGUAUCACUGUGGUGUAUUGCAUUUCACAGGCAGCGAUAUAUUCAACGAGAACAUGAGAACUCCUGCUCUGCAGCGGGCUCCGUAAUUGAUGACCACGGGAUCCAUGCUCCGGGCCGGUCACUUUAGGCCUUUGUGCAGAGUAUUCUUUCUAGUCUCAUGCCCCGUGUGAUCCUCUCCUUCCACUGUUUUCCCAAGGGAUUGGAAAUGCUUCUGGUAAGUCCUGUAGUUUCCUAAAUUUUCCACUGUGUCCCUGCUGGUAUUGGAUACCAUUAUAGCAGAGAGAGGCAGCCUACGUAUGCACAAGGAAUGUUGAGGCACAAAGAAGUUGCCUCUUUGGCCCACCAGAUCUACUUCAGAGAGUUUUAUUUUUGACCUAGAGCUUGGGUCUUUCAGCGCCAUGCACAGCCUGCGCUGGUUUCCCCGUUCUUUUAACAAGGUUAUUGAUGCCCUUCAGUUGUUUCUUCGGGGUGGGGUGGGGGGUUGCUGCAGCAAUUGCUGGGGAGGCCCUGACCGCGGCAUGUGGAAAAGACACCUUUUGACUGCAUCCAGCCAAAGAAAUGUAGGCCGAAGGAUCGGAGUAAAUGACUGCUUGUCUAGGUCUGUUACCUAGCAACACAUUGUCAGAGUUUUUUUAUGAGCAAUCAUACUCGAUCAAGUGCAUAUUCAUUCCGUGAAUAUUACUGCAAGAGUGUGUACGUUACUGAUCCUUUAAAGCGAGUCUGUGGCGCUGGUAGGGUAGCGUGUGUUCUGAAGAUUAAAUCCAAGAGCAACUCAAUUUGAUGCUGUUCUCUUAAACAAAAGCACUUGGAGCAGAUUAAAACAUUUAUCGUCCUGUUUUGUUUAUUGAAUGGACCGUGAGACUCGGAAAAACCUGCAGCGAAGGAGACACGGUAUUCAGCUUCCUUGGAGAAGGUGUCUUGUCCUGUACUUUAGGGCUUCCUGUACAUUUUGACAGCAGUGAAUGACCGGUCUCCUUUGAACCCCUGGGCAGCAGAAGGUUCUGACUGGGAGGCAAAAUGUUUCUUCUGGCGAUUUUGAAGAAGCUGGCUACCAGUCAGAAGUAAUGACAAUUCUGUGGAGUCACUGCAGUUUUUAAAAGAGUCGUCACCUUUUAUGGAAGGCGAUGCACUUUCGUUACUGAUCCCUGUAGUAAUCAAGCCACGUAAGUGAUACGUAGGAGGUCAAGCCCAUUAGUCUUUUUCACACAGUAAUAGCCUUUAGGCUGUGAUGGCUCUUAUUAAAAAAAAAAAAAAAAAAAGCCCAGAUAUUUUAGAAACUGAACAAGCCUUGUUAGCUUGUUUCCUGUAGUACCGCAAAAGGUGAUCAGAAUACUAAUGUUUUCCUGCUUUAAUGUGGUAGACAUACGCUGUGCAAACAUCUCUUACUGUUUAAUAAUAAAAACUGAGCGGUCCGUUGAGACACUAA